GUUGCUGCACCUGCAAACACCACGCUCACGCUGCUCUCUGGACUAUCUGCCCCCAUCGAGGAUGUGCCGGCAGCACCUGCCAAGACCAGGACAGAUUCCUAGAAGUGGGGUUCUGGGUCAAGGGAUGCACACCUUCUACAUUCUGGUGACUGCACGGGUUGGGCUGAUCUUAAUCAGCAUGUCGGAGUCACGGGGAGACAGAACGAAGGAAGGACUUCCUAACUGUGAAUGAUGUUCCACAACUGAUGAGACUACCUGGGCUGGGUCGCUGAAUCUCCAGUUUGGAGCGUCGGGGUACUGCUGCAACUCUCUA
Molecule: long non-coding RNA, 313 nt
Organism: Physeter macrocephalus (sperm whale)
Lineage: Eukaryota; Metazoa; Chordata; Mammalia; Artiodactyla; Physeteridae
Exons: 3
Source: RefSeq, a predicted model, not a curated record